Molecule: ribosomal RNA, 523 nt
Filed under: uncultured bacterium
Lineage: Bacteria
Description: bacterial SSU rRNA
Rfam family: Bacterial small subunit ribosomal RNA
Source: RNAcentral
ACAUCCAGAGAACUUAGCAGAGAUGCUUGGUGCCUUCGGGAACUCUGAGACAGGUGCUGCAUGGCUGUCGUCAGCUCGUGUUGUGAAAUGUUGGGUUAAGUCCCGNAACGAGCGCAACCCCUAUCCUUGUUGCCAGCGAUUCGGUCGGGAACUCAAAGGAGACUGCCGGUGAUAAACCGGAGGAAGGUGGGGAUGACGUCAAGUCAUCAUGGCCCUUACGAGUAGGGCUACACACGUGCUACAAUGGCGCAUACAAAGAGAAGCGACCUCGCGAGAGCAAGCGGACCUCAUAAAGUGCGUCGUAGUCCGGAUUGGAGUCUGCAACUCGACUCCAUGAAGUCGGAAUCGCUAGUAAUCGUAGAUCAGAAUGCUACGGUGAAUACGUUCCCGGGCCUUGUACACACCGCCCGUCACACCAUGGGAGUGGGUUGCAAAAGAAGUAGAUAGCUUAACCUUCGGGAGGGCGUUUACCACUUUGUGAUUCAUGACUGGGGUGAAGUCGUAACAAGGUAGGCGUACGUGU